Molecule: ribosomal RNA, 152 nt
Filed under: uncultured fungus
Lineage: Eukaryota; Fungi
Description: 5.8S ribosomal RNA
Rfam family: 5.8S ribosomal RNA
About the family: 5.8S ribosomal RNA (5.8S rRNA) is a component of the large subunit of the eukaryotic ribosome. It is transcribed by RNA polymerase I as part of the 45S precursor that also contains 18S and 28S rRNA.
Source: RNAcentral
CAACUUUCAGCAACGGAUCUCUUGGCUCUCGCAUCGAUGAAGAACGCAGCGAAAUGCGAUAAGUAAUGUGAAUUGCAGAAUUCAGUGAAUCAUCGAAUCUUUGAACGCACCUUGCGCUCCUUGGUAUUCCCGAGGAGCAUGCCUGUUUGAGU